GACGAACGCUGGCGGCGUGCUUAACACAUGCAAGUCGAACGGUAAGGCCCCUUCUGGGGUACACGAGUGGCGAACGGGUGAGUAACACGUGGGUGAUCUGCCCUGCACUUCGGGAUAAGCCUGGGAAACUGGGUCUAAUACCGGAUAGGACCACGCUCUGCAUGGAGUGUGGUGGAAAGCUUUUGCGGUGGGGGAUGGGCCCGCGGCCUAUCAGCUUGUUGGUGGGGUGAUGGCCUACCAAGGCGACGACGGGUAGCCGGCCUGAGAGGGUGUCCGGCCACACUGGGACUGAGAUACGGCCCAGACUCCUACGGGAGGCAGCAGUGGGGAAUAUUGCACAAUGGGCGGAAGCCUGAUGCAGCGACGCCGCGUGGGGGAUGACGGCCUUCGGGUUGUAAACCUCUUUCAGUACCGACGAAGCGCAAGUGACGGUAGGUACAGAAGAAGCACCGGCCAACUACGUG
This 464-nucleotide ribosomal RNA is filed under the name uncultured bacterium. RNAcentral's name for it is "partial 16S ribosomal RNA". It matches the Rfam family "Bacterial small subunit ribosomal RNA", at positions 28 to 507 of the family's 1533-position model. The record is from RNAcentral.